GGGGAUUUAGCUCAGUGGUAGAGCGUUUGCCCAGGAAGUGCAAGGCCCUGGGUUCGAUCCCCAGCUCCA
Molecule: non-coding RNA, 69 nt
Organism: Rattus norvegicus (Norway rat)
Lineage: Eukaryota; Metazoa; Chordata; Mammalia; Rodentia; Muridae
Source: Rfam